GUGCUAGUGACCUAAAACGGUAUAUAUGGGGUCAGUAAAUUCAAUUCCAUAUGGAAUUUACUGACAUCAUAUAUACCGUAUUUCGUCACUAGCAUACUA
RNAcentral lists this small RNA (99 nucleotides) under Mytilus galloprovincialis (Mediterranean mussel). Lineage: Eukaryota; Metazoa; Mollusca; Bivalvia; Mytilida; Mytilidae. The record is from RNAcentral.